CCUACGGGUGGCAGCAGUGGGGAAUAUUGGGCAAUGGGCGCAAGCCUGACCCAGCAACGCCGCGUGAAGGAAGAAGGCCUUCGGGUUGUAAACUUUUUUUGUCAGGGACGAAGAAAGUGACGGUACCUGACGAAUAAGCCACGGCUAACUACGUGCCAGCAGCCGCGGUAAUACGUGGGGGGCAAGCGUUAUCCGGUUUUACUGGGUGUAAAGGGCGUGUAGGCGGGAGAGCAAGUCAGACGUGAAAUUCCAGGGCUCAACCCUGGAACUGCGUUUGAAACUGUUCUUCUUGAGUGAUGGAGAGGCAGGCGGAAUGCCGGGUGUAGCGGUGAAAUGCGUAGAUAUACGGAGGAACACCAGUGGCGAAGGCGGCCUGCUGGACAUUAACUGACGCUGAGGCGCGAAAGCGUGGGGAGCAAACAGGAUUAGAUACCCGUGUAGUC
RNAcentral lists this ribosomal RNA (443 nucleotides) under uncultured bacterium. Its description in RNAcentral is "partial 16S ribosomal RNA". It matches the Rfam family "Bacterial small subunit ribosomal RNA", at positions 338 to 795 of the family's 1533-position model. The record is from RNAcentral.